UGCAAGUCGAGCGAACUGAUUAGAAGCUUGCUUCUAUGACGUUAGCGGCGGACGGGUGAGUAACACGUGGGCAACCUGCCUGUAAGACUGGGAUAACUUCGGGAAACCGAAGCUAAUACCGGAUAGGAUCUUCUCCUUCAUGGGAGAUGAUUGAAAGAUGGUUUCGGCUAUCACUUACAGAUGGGCCCGCGGUGCAUUAGCUAGUUGGUGAGGUAACGGCUCACCAAGGCAACGAUGCAUAGCCGACCUGAGAGGGUGAUCGGCCACACUGGGACUGAGACACGGCCCAGACUCCUACGGGAGGCAGCAGUAGGGAAUCUUCCGCAAUGGACGAAAGUCUGACGGAGCAACGCCGCGUGAGUGAUGAAGGCUUUCGGGUCGUAAAACUCUGUUGUUAGGGAAGAACAAGUACAAGAGUAACUGCUCGUACCUUGACGGUACCUAACCAGAAAGCCACGGCUAACUACGUGCCAGCAGCCGCGGUAAUACGUAGGUGGCAAGCGUUAUCCGGAAUUAUUGGGCGUAAAGCGCGCGCAGGCGGUUUCUUAAGUCUGAUGUGAAAGCCCACGGCUCAACCGUGGAGGGUCAUUGGAAACUGGGGGAACUUGAGUGCAGAAGAGAAAAGCGGAAUUCCACGUGUAGCGGUGAAAUGCGUAGAGAUGUGGAGGACACCAGUGGCGAAGCGGCUUUUUGGUCUGUAACUGACGCUGAGGCGCGAAAGCGUGGGAGCAAACAGGAUUAGAUACCCUGUAGUCCACGUCGUAAACGAUGAGUGCUAGU
Molecule: ribosomal RNA, 780 nt
Filed under: Bacillus sp. RSBAUOCAS0003B
Lineage: Bacteria; Bacillati; Bacillota; Bacilli; Caryophanales; Bacillaceae
Description: bacterial SSU rRNA
Rfam family: Bacterial small subunit ribosomal RNA
Source: RNAcentral